This 253-nucleotide ribosomal RNA is filed under the name uncultured bacterium. Its description in RNAcentral is "partial 16S ribosomal RNA". It matches the Rfam family "Bacterial small subunit ribosomal RNA", at positions 524 to 776 of the family's 1533-position model. The record is from RNAcentral.
UACGAAGGGGGCUAGCGUUGUUCGGAAUUACUGGGCGUAAAGCGCGCGCAGGCGGCACUGUAAGUAAGGUGUGAAAUAUCCCUGCUCAACGGGGAGGGUGCACUUUAGACUGCAGAGCUAGAGGACGGUAGAGGGGGGUGGAAUUGCUGGUGUAGCGGUGAAAUGCGUAGAGAUCAGCAGGAACACCCGUGGCGAAGGCGGCCCCCUGGGCCGAACCUGACGCUGAGGCGCGAAGGCUAGGGGAGCGAACGGG